Pangasius djambal is the source of this 73-nucleotide non-coding RNA. Lineage: Eukaryota; Metazoa; Chordata; Actinopteri; Siluriformes; Pangasiidae. The record is from the annotation of a GenBank genome assembly.
GCAGUGGUAGCUAGGUGGUUAAGGCAAUGGACUACUGAUCAGAAGGUCAUGAAUUCAAAUCCCAGCCACUGUU